UGAGCCUGGGGAGGGCUUUCUUUCUCCAUGAUACCUCUGCUCUUUUGUUCUCCUCUGUUGUUCCACCAGGGUCAGAGCACGCAAGAGAGCCACGUAAUUGCAGAGAGGAUCUGGAGGAGCUGCAGCCACUUUAGAUGAGUGAUUUGUCCUCACAAGGAAGGAGUUACUGCUGUUGUUUGCAGACACAAUGUGUUCUUCAGAUGCCCUUGAACUCCACUGCUGUGCCCUGCCUUGAAAAUAAACAUCAGAUAACCCUCUUCCCCACACAGCUACGUGGAGCAGAGGUAGGCUUUCAAAGGACAAACUGGAAAAACAGACAGGGAAAGACAAGAAACACCUCCCAGGUAUCUGCAUGACUGUAUCAUGACUGUAUCAUACCUUCUUUGUCCGUCACAGCACUUGAAGCAUGUCUCAGCCUUGUGCAAAGCUCACAUUGGACCAGCUCUGCUCUUUAGGUUUCACUGCAGUAUGAGGACUCGGUGUGGACAGAGGCAUGUCUUGUACUGUCCAGGUCCUGGUUGUGGCACCUGCUGUCUUGCAGGGAUGGUUCAGCAGGGAUGAUGAGGAUGAGGUGGGUGGAAAGAGGAAAGAAGCUGUAUGCAUAGCAAGCCAGUUGCUGCUGCAGUCAUCAGAGAGCUUUUCCAUCCCUGUCUAGCCAAGACAUCCUGGGAAUGCAUCCCCAGGCAGAGACAGCCCUGCAGGCAGCAUCUGCCCUGAGUGCACAUGCAGGCAGCAGUUCCCAGCUGCUGCCUUGGAAGAACUGCAGAGUUCCUGAUGCUGGCCUGGUAACAGUGGCCUGGUGGAGACUGGCUUUGACACAGCUGUCACCUGGCCUUGAGCCCUCAAAGAAUUUCCUCUUCUCUGACAUUGCCAAGCCACUUUUACCUUCCCACCAACCCCACCCUGCAUUCUGGGCAUCCCUUUCUCCUGCCUCCCUGCUUCCCAGCCCAU
This is a long non-coding RNA of Pogoniulus pusillus (Red-fronted tinkerbird), 951 nucleotides long. RefSeq lists it as uncharacterized. The transcript is spliced from 3 exons. The record is from RefSeq and is a predicted model, not a curated record. NCBI's taxonomy places the organism in Eukaryota, Metazoa, Chordata, Aves, Piciformes, Lybiidae.